Molecule: small nuclear RNA, 189 nt
Organism: Meriones unguiculatus (Mongolian gerbil)
Lineage: Eukaryota; Metazoa; Chordata; Mammalia; Rodentia; Muridae
Gene: U2
Rfam family: U2 spliceosomal RNA
About the family: U2 is a small nuclear RNA (snRNA) component of the spliceosome (involved in pre-mRNA splicing). Complementary binding between U2 snRNA (in an area lying towards the 5' end but 3' to hairpin I) and the branchpoint sequence (BPS) of the intron results the bulging out of an unpaired adenosine, on the BPS, which initiates a nucleophilic attack at the intronic 5' splice site, thus starting the first of two transesterification reactions that mediate splicing.
Source: Ensembl
GUCACUUCUCUGUGAUUUGCCUAAAAACAGAAAUAGUGCCUGUUUUUACCAGUUUACUAUCUGAUAUGUCCUCUGUCCAAAGAUAAUAUAAUAAGUUGAUUUUGGGAAAUAGGAGGUAAAACAGGAGUGCUCUGUAUACUACAUGAAUUGGCCUGUUAUUGCAGUAGCUCCUGGAACGGCGUACUCUCC